Molecule: ribosomal RNA, 432 nt
Filed under: uncultured bacterium
Lineage: Bacteria
Description: partial 16S ribosomal RNA
Rfam family: Bacterial small subunit ribosomal RNA
Source: RNAcentral
ACGCACCCUUGCCGCAUGCCUCACCCCUGCCAGUCGAACGCGACCUUCGGGUCUAGUGGCGCACGGGUGCGUAACGCGUGGGAACCUGCCCUUAGGUUCGGAAUAACUCCCCGAAAGGGGUGCUAAUACCGGAUAAUGUCUUCGGACCAAAGAUUUAUCGCCUUUGGAUGGGCCCGCGUUGGAUUAGCUAGUUGGUAGGGUAAAAGCCUACCAAGGCGACGAUCCAUAGCUGGUCUGAGAGGAUGAUCAGCCACACUGGGACUGAGACACGGCCCAGACUCCUACGGGAGGCAGCAGUGGGGAAUAUUGGACAAUGGGCGAAAGCCUGAUCCAGCAAUGCCGCGUGAGUGAUGAAGGCCUUAGGGUUGUAAAGCUCUUUUACCCGGGAUGAUAAUGACAGUACCGGGAGAAUAAGCUCCGGCUAACUCCGUG